UACAGAGGGUGCAAGCGUUAAUCGGAAUUACUGGGCGUAAAGCGUGCGUAGUCGGUUAUCUAAGUCAGGUGUGAAAUCCCCAGGCUUAACCUGGGAACUGCAUCCGAUACUGGAUGGCUUGAAUCCGGGAGAGGGAUGCAGAAUUCCAGGUGUAGCGGUGAAAUGCGUAGAUAUCUGGAGGAAUACCGGUGGCGAAGGCGGCAUCCUGGACCGGCAUUGACGCUGAUGAGCGAAAGCCAGGGGAGCAAACGGG
RNAcentral lists this ribosomal RNA (253 nucleotides) under uncultured bacterium. RNAcentral's name for it is "partial 16S ribosomal RNA". It matches the Rfam family "Bacterial small subunit ribosomal RNA", at positions 524 to 776 of the family's 1533-position model. The record is from RNAcentral.